AUGCCACCCCUCAAUGCUGCAGCAAUCACCAUGCUUACUGAUCGUUGGCGGCCGGAGACACACAGUUUCCAUCUUCGCACCAGAGAGAUGACCGUGACGCUCCAGGAUAUUUCUAUGAUCACCGGUCUUCAUAUCGAGGGUAAUCCUCUAUGUAUGAGCACCGAUUAUGAUGGGUGA
This 177-nucleotide ribosomal RNA is filed under the name Triticum aestivum (bread wheat). RNAcentral describes it as "partial small subunit ribosomal RNA". The record is from RNAcentral. Lineage: Eukaryota; Viridiplantae; Streptophyta; Magnoliopsida; Poales; Poaceae.